UACGAAGGGGGCUAGCGUUGCUCGGAAUCACUGGGCGUAAAGGGUGCGCAGGCGGUUCUGCAAGUCAGGCGUGAAAUCCCCGGGCUUAACCUGGGAAUUGCACUUGAAACUACGGGACUGGAGUAUGGCAGAGGGAGGUGGAAUUCCACGUGUAGCGGUGAAAUGCGUAGAGAUGUGGAGGGACACCGAUGGCGAAGGCAGCCUCCUGGGCCAAUACUGACGCUCAUGCACGAAAGCGUGGGGAGCAAACAGG
RNAcentral lists this ribosomal RNA (253 nucleotides) under uncultured bacterium. RNAcentral's name for it is "partial 16S ribosomal RNA". It matches the Rfam family "Bacterial small subunit ribosomal RNA", at positions 524 to 776 of the family's 1533-position model. The record is from RNAcentral.